RNAcentral lists this long non-coding RNA (615 nucleotides) under Rattus norvegicus (Norway rat). RNAcentral's name for it is "long non-coding RNA NONRATT005977". The record is from RNAcentral. Lineage: Eukaryota; Metazoa; Chordata; Mammalia; Rodentia; Muridae.
GGUUUCCAAGCCUGGCUGGAAGAAAAAGAGAUAUAGAAAUGUAGAUGAUAGAUAGAUAGAUAGAUAGAUAGAUAGAUAGAUAGAUAGAUAGACAGACAGACAGAUAGAUAAGAGACAGACAGACACCAACAGACAAAUCAUAUUUUUGAAACAUACCCCAGGGCAAGCAGGAAGACUAUGGGGACAAAGUUGGUCCAUGGUCCUCCCUGUAAGAUCAAUGAUCCUCCCUGUAAGGUCUAUGGUCCUCCCUGUAAUAUCUAUAGUCCUCCCUGUAAGAUCCAUAGUCCUCCCUGUAAGAUCCAUAGUCCUCCCUGUAAGAUCUAUGGUCCUCCCUGUAAGGCCCAUGGUCCUCCCUGUAAUGUCAAUAGUCCUCCCUGUAAGAUCUAUGGUCUUCCCUUUAAGGCCCAUGGUCCUCCCUUUUAGCUGCACUCCACUGAAAGGUAUGCUGGUCUCUAGAAAGGCUUGGGAAUCCCCGUGUCAGUUCAGACUUGUGGAUGAGCUUGGGCAUCUUUGAGGAUGCAGAAACCUUGAAUUAAGACUUCUACAGUCAAGAAGGAAAAAGAAAAGGGGGUGAAUUUUUACCUAAAAGUCAGCACCCAGAGCUUCAGAGGAAGA